GAGUUGAUCGUGGCUCAGAACGAACGCUGGCGGCGUGGAUAAGACAUGCAAGUCGAACGGGAGAAUUGCUAGCUUGCUAAUAAUUCUCUAGUGGCGCACGGGUGAGUAACACGUGAGUAACCUGCCCCCGAGAGCGGGAUAGCCCUGGGAAACUGGGAUUAAUACCGCAUAGUAUCGAAAGAUUAAAGCAGCAAUGCGCUUGGGGAUGGGCUCGCGGCCUAUUAGUUAGUUGGUGAGGUAACGGCUCACCAAGGCGAUGACGGGUAGCCGGUCUGAGAGGAUGUCCGGCCACACUGGAACUGAGACACGGUCCAGACACCUACGGGUGGCAGCAGUCGAGAAUCAUUCACAAUGGGGGAAACCCUGAUGGUGCGACGCCGCGUGGGGGAAUGAAGGUCUUCGGAUUGUAAACCCCAGUCAUGUGGGAGCAAAUUAAAAAGAUAGUACCACAAGAGGAAGAGACGGCUAACUCUGUGCCAGCAGCCGCAGU
This 490-nucleotide ribosomal RNA is filed under the name uncultured microorganism. Its description in RNAcentral is "bacterial SSU rRNA". It matches the Rfam family "Bacterial small subunit ribosomal RNA", at positions 9 to 521 of the family's 1533-position model. The record is from RNAcentral.